GAUGAACGCUGACAGAAUGCUUAACACAUGCAAGUCAACUGUGGCGCACGGGGUAGUAACGCGUAAAGAACUUGCCUCUCAGAUAGGGACAACCUUUGGAAACGAAUGCUAAUACCUGAUACUGUGAGAAAGCUUUGCGUCCCAUGAGCUAGUUGGAGAGGAACUGGCUCACAAAGGCGAUGAUGGGUAGCCGGACUGAGAGGGUGAUCAGCCACAAGGGGACGUGGACACGGCCCGUACGCCUACGGGAGGCAGAGGUGGGGAAUAUUGGACAAUUGACCAAAGUCUGAUCCAGCAAUUCGGUUUGCACGAUGAAGUUUGCGGAAUGUAAAGUGCUUUCAGUUGGGAAUCGGUACCAGCAGAAGAAGUGACGGCUAAAUACGUGCCAGCAGCCGCGGUAAUUC
This 404-nucleotide ribosomal RNA is filed under the name uncultured bacterium. RNAcentral describes it as "partial 16S ribosomal RNA". It matches the Rfam family "Bacterial small subunit ribosomal RNA", at positions 28 to 526 of the family's 1533-position model. The record is from RNAcentral.